GGCAAGUCCGGUGGUGAAGAGGUGCUACAGGAGAACCGAAGAACAGAAACAUUAACAGAUGCUGCAAGACGGCAAAUGGUGAAACAUACUGGUGGCUCACAUGAUUGAUAACCAUGGGCACCUCCCCAUUAAAGCGACCAGAGAAGAGUUUGCUCUUGGUAUCGUGAUGCUGUUCCCUUCCCUCAAGGAUCCAUAUUCCAAGAAAGGCUUUGAACACUUCUUUGAUCCUGGAAGCAACACAGGACACAUUUCUUGGCGUCUGAAAACAGUCCAAAGGCAGAUUUGUCGAGGGUCUGCAACGCCACCAAGUAGCUCCAUUGUCUUUUCUCCAGGAGGCCCAACUUUCCAAAGGAUUGUUAAUGUUGAAGGACAGUGUGGAGUAUAAAGCUGGACUUGUUGUGUGCUGUACAGUGGAAGAAGACAUGCCAGUCUUUUGUGAAAUAAGUGAUGUACUUUUGGUUGAUAAUCACAUUUUUUUUUCUGACAAACAAGCUAUUCACAGAGAAUUUUGAUGGCCAUCAUCAUGCGUUCAGAAUAUUGCCAAGUGAAGAAAGGUGUGUCAUAAACAUGUCAAAGCUUAAAUGUUAUAAACUGUUUGAUAUUCAAAGCUCAUACAAUGUUUCAGAUGAAACUUUGUACAUUAUACCUUUAUUUGUGAUGUUUUGAACGACUGCAA
Mugil cephalus (flathead mullet) is the source of this 676-nucleotide long non-coding RNA. RefSeq lists it as uncharacterized. The transcript has 3 exons. Lineage: Eukaryota; Metazoa; Chordata; Actinopteri; Mugiliformes; Mugilidae. The record is from RefSeq and is a predicted model, not a curated record.